This 943-nucleotide long non-coding RNA is filed under the name Equus asinus (donkey). RNAcentral's name for it is "lncRNA (ENSEASG00005032806.1)". The record is from RNAcentral. Lineage: Eukaryota; Metazoa; Chordata; Mammalia; Perissodactyla; Equidae.
CUUGGUUAGAAAGGCACUCCCUACCGCCCCGCCUCCGGAAAACCGGUAUUAGAUCUGCUUCGCACUAUCCAUUAAAAUGCUCGCUUUUUUUUAUCUAUUCCUAAGUUUCCAUGAGCUUGACUAAUGUAAGUCUUCCUGACAAAUUAGGUUUCUGGGUCAGUAAGCUGUCUUAGUAUGUUUGGGCGGCAGACUGGGUGGCUUAUAAACAACAAACUUCUCACAGUUCAGGAGUCUGGGAAGUCCAAGAUCAAGGCUCCAGCAGGUUUGUUGUCUGAUUAGCCCUCAGCUAACCACUGCCAGUCCUCCUCUUUUUGCUGAGGAAGCCUGGCUCUGAGCUAACAUCCGGUGCCCAUCUUCCUCUAGUUUACAUGUGGGACGCCUACCACAGCAUGGCUGCCAAGCAGUGCCAUGUCCGCACCCGGGAUCUGAACCAGCGAACCCCAGGCCGCCGAGAAGCGGAAUGUGCGAACUUAACCGCUGCACCACUGGGCCGGCCCCUUAUUUAUUUAUUUUUAAGAAAUUGUGCAGACUAAUUCAAGGAUGGAAAAUGCAUAGCACUUGUGCUACCACUCUACCUGCACAUCCCUGUGGCACAUAUUGACAGUUGAUAGCAAACUCAUUCUCAUUCAGCCUGAACUCAGCCUCCGAUUCCUUCUUAACACAGAAUUCCAGGCAUUCACUAUCAAUCAGUUGUAGUUGUCACAAAGUGGACAUAUUUGAAAUAAAUGCUUUUAGGAAAAAUGUCACAGAAUAAUAUGGUUCUAGAGUUGGUGAAUAAGGAAGAAAUUUUUGUCUCUCUCUGCAAAAUAAAAAUAUCUUUUGGGAAUUGUUCUAAGGUAAUUAGUUGUGUGAAGUCGAUUAUGUUUAUAGUCUUAAAAAGUAUAUUUUCCUAUGCUUUUUUUACCUUAAAAUCCAAAUUAUCAAAGUAGAUUCAUUUCUUUUU